RNAcentral lists this ribosomal RNA (459 nucleotides) under uncultured bacterium. RNAcentral describes it as "SSU rRNA". It matches the Rfam family "Bacterial small subunit ribosomal RNA", at positions 26 to 518 of the family's 1533-position model. The record is from RNAcentral.
AGAAUCAACGCUGGCGGCGUGCCUAACACAUGCAAGUCGAACGAGAAAGUGGAGCAAUCCAUGAGUAAAGUGGCGACCGGGUGAGUAACACGUGACUAACCUACCUUCGAGUGGGGGAUAACAUCGGGAAACCGAUGCUAAUACCGCAUAACAUCGCAAGAUCAAAGCAGUAAUGCGCUUGAAGAGGGGGUCGCGGCUGAUUAGCUAGUUGGCGGGGUAACGCCCACCAAGGCGAAGAUCGGUAGCCGGCCUGAGAGGGCGCACGGCCACACUGGAACUGAAACACGGUCCAGACUCCUACGGGAGGCAGCAGUGGGGAAUUUUGCGCAAUGGGGGAAACCCUGACGCAGCAACGCCGCGUGGAGGAUGAAGCCCCUUGGGGCGUAAACUCCUUUCGACCAAGACGAUAAUGACGGUACUGGUGGAAGAAGCACCGGCUAACUCUGCGCCAGCAGCCGC